GACGAACGCUGGCGGCGUGCUUAACACAUGCAAGUCGAACGGAAAGGCCUCUUUCGGGGGGUACUCGAGUGGCGAACGGGUGAGUAACACGUGAGUAACCUGCCCUUGACUUUGGGAUAACUUCAGGAAACUGGGGCUAAUACCGGAUAGGAGCUCCUGCUGCAUGGUGGGGGUUGGAAAGUUUCGGCGGUUGGGGAUGGACUCGCGGCUUAUCAGCUUGUUGGUGGGGUAGUGGCUUACCAAGGCUUUGACGGGUAGCCGGCCUGAGAGGGUGACCGGCCACAUUGGGACUGAGAUACGGCCCAGACUCCUACGGGAGGUAGCAGUGGGGAAUAUUGCACAAUGGGUGGAAGCCUGAUGCAGCAACGCCGGGUGCGGGAUGACGGCCUUCGGGUUGUAAACCGCUUUCGCUCAUGACGAAGCUUUGUGUGACGGUAGUGGGUAAAGAAGCACCGGCUAACUACGUG
RNAcentral lists this ribosomal RNA (467 nucleotides) under uncultured bacterium. RNAcentral describes it as "partial 16S ribosomal RNA". It matches the Rfam family "Bacterial small subunit ribosomal RNA", at positions 28 to 507 of the family's 1533-position model. The record is from RNAcentral.